Molecule: non-coding RNA, 23 nt
Filed under: Arabidopsis thaliana (thale cress)
Lineage: Eukaryota; Viridiplantae; Streptophyta; Magnoliopsida; Brassicales; Brassicaceae
Source: RNAcentral
AUUAUCCUGGUGAAAAUGAUGCA